GAGUUUGAUCCUGGCUCAGGAUGAACGCUAGCUACAGGCUUAACACAUGCAAGUCGAGGGGCAGCAUGGUCUUAGCUUGCUAAGGCCGAUGGCGACCGGCGCACGGGUGAGUAACACGUAUCCAACCUGCCGUCUACUCUUGGACAGCCUUCUGAAAGGAAGAUUAAUACAAGAUGGCAUCAUGAGUCCGCAUGUUCACAUGAUUAAAGGUAUUCCGGUAGACGAUGGGGAUGCGUUCCAUUAGAUAGUAGGCGGGGUAACGGCCCACCUAGUCUUCGAUGGAUAGGGGUUCUGAGAGGAUGGUCCCCCACAUUGGAACUGAGACACGGUCCAAACUCCUACGGGAGGCAGCAGUGAGGAAUAUUGGUCAAUGGGCGAGAGCCUGAACCAGCCAAGUAGCGUGAAGGAUGACUGCCCUAUGGGUUGUAAACUUCUUUUACAAAGGAAUAAAGUCGGGUAUGCAUAC
This 466-nucleotide ribosomal RNA is filed under the name uncultured bacterium. RNAcentral describes it as "bacterial SSU rRNA". It matches the Rfam family "Bacterial small subunit ribosomal RNA", at positions 9 to 465 of the family's 1533-position model. The record is from RNAcentral.